AUUGAACGCUGGCGGCAGGCCUAACACAUGCAAGUCGAGCGGAUGAAGGGAGCUUGCUCCUGGAUUCAGCGGCGGACGGGUGAGUAAUGCCUAGGAAUCUGCCUGGUAGUGGGGGAUAACGUCCGGAAACGGGCGCUAAUACCGCAUACGUCCUGAGGGAGAAAGUGGGGGAUCUUCGGACCUCACACUAUCAGAUGAGCCUAGGUCGGAUUAGCUAGUUGGUGGGGUAAAGGCCUACCAAGGCGACGAUCCGUAACUGGUCUGAGAGGAUGAUCAGCCACACUGGAACUGAGACACGGUCCAGACUCCUACGGGAGGCAGCAGUGGGGAAUAUUGGACAAUGGGCGAAAGCCUGAUCCAGCCAUGCCGCGUGUGUGAAGAAGGUCUUCGGAUUGUAAAGCACUUUAAGUUGGGAGGAAGGGCAGUAAGUUAAUACCUUGCUGUUUUGACGUUACCAACAGAAUAAGCACCGGCUAACUUCGUG
This 484-nucleotide ribosomal RNA is filed under the name uncultured bacterium. Its description in RNAcentral is "partial 16S ribosomal RNA". It matches the Rfam family "Bacterial small subunit ribosomal RNA", at positions 30 to 507 of the family's 1533-position model. The record is from RNAcentral.